RNAcentral lists this ribosomal RNA (196 nucleotides) under Lactiplantibacillus plantarum. Its description in RNAcentral is "partial 16S ribosomal RNA". It matches the Rfam family "Bacterial small subunit ribosomal RNA", at positions 76 to 273 of the family's 1533-position model. Lineage: Bacteria; Bacillati; Bacillota; Bacilli; Lactobacillales; Lactobacillaceae. The record is from RNAcentral.
GAUUUACAUUUGAGUGAGUGGCGAACUGGUGAGUAACACGUGGGAAACCUGCCCAGAAGCGGGGGAUAACACCUGGAAAGAUGCUAAUACCGCAUAACAACUUGGACCGCUGGUCCGAGUUGAAAGAUGGCUUCGGCUAUCACUUUUGGAUGGUCCCGCGGCGUAUUAGCUAGAUGGUGGUAACGGCUCACCAUGG